Molecule: non-coding RNA, 73 nt
Organism: Podarcis lilfordi (Lilford's wall lizard)
Lineage: Eukaryota; Metazoa; Chordata; Lepidosauria; Squamata; Lacertidae
Source: the annotation of a GenBank genome assembly
GCUGGGAUAGCUCAGUUGGUAGAGCAUGAGGCGCUUGAUCUCAGGGUCGUGGGUUCGAGCCCCGUGUUGGGCA